Dermacentor andersoni is the source of this 551-nucleotide non-coding RNA. Lineage: Eukaryota; Metazoa; Arthropoda; Arachnida; Ixodida; Ixodidae. The record is from RefSeq and is a predicted model, not a curated record.
CAGUUAUGUGCAGGCCUGCUAUCGUUGCGCUCUUUAUUAUUUCUUGCAGCAUCCCACUACUCGCUCUCCAAGAUUUCUCCUUCCGUGUCCCUGGAACAAACUACACCUACAAACUACCAAGUUGUAACAGCACUGGAAGCUGUGUUUACCCAUUCAUGUGCUUCUGUCCUGAGCCGACGCCAACAUGGGGAUUUAUGCGCUUUACAGACGACAAUGGCCCUUGGUACUAUGACAACAACACCAAACAAUGCGAACAAAAAGCGGGAGACCCACGUGGCUGCAACCGAUUUACCAGUAGAGAUCAAUGUUUGAGGCAUUGCCCGGGUAAUCUAAGAUUGCUCGGAGGAAGCCAAUGAAUAUUCUCCAGGUCAACUGCAAAUGCCUAUAUUUGGGUUAAAAGCAAGAUUAUUGCAGCUGACAAAGACCUAAAAAUUCCAAUUAUACCUUUGAUAUUUUCUCCUGAACGACUCAGCAUUUUGCAUUUAUAACUUCUUAAAGUAGAGUAUUGACAGGUAUGGCUACUCACUGAAUAAAAUUGGGAUGAAAAUUGG